AUGGUCUCCCAGUGCAUCAAAGCUGCCAUGGAGAUGAGGAUGCUGAGAGUGAGACAGGUGGAGAUCUCCAUGGACUCUUCUUCUUUAUACAGCUUCACAGAGACACAAAGACAGGACCUGACUGGAGAAGUCAGAGACGUUCUUUCAUUAUCAUUACACAUGGAGCCAGAGGAGAGGGCGUCCUCUCUCAGUCCUUCAGACUAUCUGCUGGAUAUAAACAAGGUUCUGCUGGCCUUGGCCGACAACGAACUGCUGCUCAACUCUUUCGAGCUCAGCAGUGGUCUCUACAAUGACUUCUCCAGCCAGGGGGUGGAGGGUGAGAGAGAGAUGAGGGGAGAUAUUGGAAGAGUAUAAAGGAGAGUCUGGAGUAUGUCCGGGAGCAGGUGACGUUGAUCCAUGAGCGCCAUCCUGGAGGCAUCGCAGAGAUAGGUGGCACAGAUCAGAGACACCCUCACCCAGCUCAAACCAGAGUGGGACCGCCUAAACUGCAUGUACAAGCACCGCAAAGGGAGUUUUGACUGUGCAGUGGAGGAGUGGAGACAGUUCCACUGUGACUUGAACGACCUAAGUCAGUGGAUGACCGACACGGAACAGGUCCUCACUAAGGGAAAAGGACCUGAUGGACAACUGCACCCGGACACAGCCAGGACACACCAGGAGGCUGACUGGAAGUGACCCUGCCCUAUUAGAGCUGGUGAGGUAGUGGAGACCUGGCUCUGUGGCUGGAGCAGGCUGAAUGUGCUGUGAGCUCUCUGCCCGUCACUGCCACCAACAGCAACCUCAAAGAACUUAAGACUCUGGCUGAAGAGAUGGACAUCCAGAAUGAGUGUCUUGGUUGGCUGAACAAGAACGGCCCCCAGAUUCUAGCCAAUCAGAGCGUGAGUCAUCAGGAGAGAGACAAGCACAUGAGCAAACUCAGGACCAUCAAUCUCAACUGGAACAAGAUAAAGUCGGUGGAGGCGGAGGGGAACCUCCAGAGUCAUGGUCAGUUCCAGGACAAGAUUAACAGAAUGACCGACUGCGUCCAGGUCACACACCAGACCUCAGUGGGAGAGGGGUCAGCCCUGCAGAGAGCCAG
RNAcentral lists this long non-coding RNA (1078 nucleotides) under Salmo salar (Atlantic salmon). RNAcentral's name for it is "lncRNA (ENSSSAG00000088581.1)". The record is from RNAcentral. Lineage: Eukaryota; Metazoa; Chordata; Actinopteri; Salmoniformes; Salmonidae.